GAUGAACGCUGGCGGCGUGCCUAAUACAUGCAAGUCGAGCGAACGGACGAGAAGCUUGCUUCUCUGAUGUUAGCGGCGGACGGGUGAGUAACACGUGGAUAACCUACCUAUAAGACUGGGAUAACUUCGGGAAACCGGAGCUAAUACCGGAUAAUAUUUUGAACCGCAUGGUUCAAAAGUGAAAGACGGUCUUGCUGUCACUUAUAGAUGGAUCCGCGCUGCAUUAGCUAGUUGGUAAGGUAACGGCUUACCAAGGCAACGAUGCAUAGCCGACCUGAGAGGGUGAUCGGCCACACUGGAACUGAGACACGGUCCAGACUCCUACGGGAGGCAGCAGUAGGGAAUCUUCCGCAAUGGGCGAAAGCCUGACGGAGCAACGCCGCGUGAGUGAUGAAGGUCUUCGGAUCGUAAAACUCUGUUAUUAGGGAAGAACAUAUGUGUAAGUAACUGUGCACAUCUUGACGGUACCUAAUCAGAAAGCCACGGCUAACUACGUGCCAGCAGCCGCGGUAAUACGUAGGUGGCAAGCGUUAUCCGGAAUUAUUGGGCGUAAAGCGCGCGUAGGCGGUUUUUUAAGUCUGAUGUGAAAGCCCACGGCUCAACCGUGGAGGGUCAUUGGAAACUGGAAAACUUGAGUGCAGAAGAGGAAAGUGGAAUUCCAUGUGUAGCGGUGAAAUGCGCAGAGAUAUGGAGGAACACCAGUGGCGAAGGCGACUUUCUGGUCUGUAACUGACGCUGAUGUGCGAAAGCGUGGGGAUCAAACAGGAUUAGAUACCCUGGUAGUCCACGCCGUAAACGAUGAGUGCUAAGUGUUAGGGGGUUUCCGCCCCUUAGUGCUGCAGCUAACGCAUUAAGCACUCCGCCUGGGGAGUACGACCGCAAGGUUGAAACUCAAAGGAAUUGACGGGGACCCGCACAAGCGGUGGAGCAUGUGGUUUAAUUCGAAGCAACGCGAAGAACCUUACCAAAUCUUGACAUCCUUUGACAACUCUAGAGAUAGAGCCUUCCCCUUCGGGGGGGCAAAGUGACAGGUGGCGCAUGGUUGUCGUCAGCUCGUGUCGUGAGAUGUUGGGUUAAGUCCCGCAACGAGCGCAACCCUUAAGCUUAGUUGCCAUCAUUAAGUUGGGCACUCUAAGUUGACUGCCGGUGACAAACCGGAGGAAGGUGGGGAUGACGUCAAAUCAUCAUGCCCCUUAUGAUUUGGGCUACACACGUGCUACAAUGGACAAUACAAAGGGCAGCGAAACCGCGAGGUCAAGCAAAUCCCAUAAAGUUGUUCUCAGUUCGGAUUGUAGUCUGCAACUCGACUACAUGAAGCUGGAAUCGCUAGUAAUCGUAGAUCAGCAUGCUACGGAGAAGACGUUCCCGGGUCU
RNAcentral lists this ribosomal RNA (1373 nucleotides) under uncultured bacterium. RNAcentral's name for it is "bacterial SSU rRNA". It matches the Rfam family "Bacterial small subunit ribosomal RNA", at positions 28 to 1381 of the family's 1533-position model. The record is from RNAcentral.